This is a non-coding RNA of Rattus norvegicus (Norway rat), 1983 nucleotides long. The record is from RefSeq and is a predicted model, not a curated record. NCBI's taxonomy places the organism in Eukaryota, Metazoa, Chordata, Mammalia, Rodentia, Muridae.
ACAUGUGCAUGCACACAUACUCACAAAGACACACUCAGAUAGAUACACACAUACACACUCACACACACAUGCACACACUCAUAAACACACACUCACAAAUUGUGCAUGUACACAGGCACACACACACUCAUACACCUGCAUACACACAUAUAUAUGUGUACACACAAUACACAGAUGUACACACUCAUACACAUGCACACACUGAUAAGCACUCACACACAUUCACAUGCACACACACUCAUACACCUGCACACUCAGGUACACACGUGUACACACAUAUGCAAAUGCACACACUCACCCAUAUGUGCAUAUAUACACAGUCACAAAGACACACACAUACACACACUCACACUCACACUUAGCAGAGGGUGGGAAGUCUCUACAGUUUCUGAGGUCACCCCAUCCCUGGCUCCCUUUAUCUCAGUGAGUUCCCAUUAGGGGUCAGGUCAAUGUAAGGAGUCCUUUAGAUGUGGAAGAAUCUAGAAUUAGAACCAUCAGCUCACUCUGUGACCUUGAAAUUCUGGAACCCAGGUAUCUCUUCUAAGCUGCUUCAAGCUCUGCUCUCAUUCUCCCUUGUCCUGGACUACAAAAUCCUUGUUAAUAAAGUGCCUCAGAGCAAAUACCAGCCUCCAGGUUCCAAGUUCACUAGAAGUUUUUGUGUCAACAUCUCCUCCACGCCGAGAUGCUCCUGGACUCCCAAACUCCAGAUGACCCAAGAGCCACCAUUUUCAGUGUUCAUGACACCCAAUGACCUGUCCCUAGCAGGUACAGGCUUCCUGAGAGUGUGGAUUCCCAGCGACCAGCCCCAUCUGGAGAAGCAAUGAGAAACCACUUUUGACUCAAUAUUUCUUAAAUGUGUAGGCCUGACUAGAUCCAGAGAGAAGUGGUGGGUAGGAGAAAGUCUCUGGUCAACAUUCUCUUUUGGGCAGAUAUGGUGGCAGAUCUCCCCAAGGCUUAAUAUCUUAAAUCAAUGGUCAUUUAUGAUCUGACACAAUGUCCGCUGAUCACAGAACUCGGGUUGGCUGAGCGGCGGUCACCCCAAGUCAGGAGAUCUCGGAAAGUCACAGUUGAACAUUUAGCAGGCUCUGGAGGGGCUUCCAAGGUAGUUCACUCCCUCGGUUGGCAAGCUGAUAUUAGCUGAAGACCAGAAGCCUCAGUUAGGUCAUGCAGACCUCUCUAGAACCUGCUUGAGUGUGCUCACAAUACAGAAGCUGACUUCUUAGAGAUGGGAACUGAUGGAGGACAAGACGGUUACCUUUAUAACUCAGUGCCGGUUGUUACCAGCGUCAUAUCUACAAUAUCCUGUGAGUGACCAGGUCAGCCCUAGUCUCCUUAGGAGAAACCUACACAAGGCUUUGGGUACCCAGAAGAUGAAGUCAUAAAAGGCCAUUUCAUAGGACGGUUGUCACAAUGAGUUGUGAUGUCGCCUUACCGCUGAAGGGAAUGAAGCCCUCAGAAAGCAAACAGUUUUAAGAUCCACACUUAGUGAAAGACCAAAGACAUGAACUUGACCUCAACUCCUACCCCAACAGGCUUCCCCCAUCUUUCCUACCACAAAGUGGCCUGGAUCCCAGAACAGAGCAAGCCACUGUGAUUUCAGCUCGGCAAAACCCAGCACCCAGGGUUUGGCCAACCUCCAGCGUCCUCACACCUCCUGCCCUCUCUGCGGAUCAUUUACUCCAAGGCCCUGUUAUAAAUAUCCACUCGGCAAAAUACCUCUCUCCUCGGGUACCCACUCCCCAGCCCUGGCCGCCCGUACCCUGCUCAAACAAUGCCAGCUUGCAAUCAGCCUGCAAUCUGAAUCCACUUUGCUCACCCAGCACUGAAGGGCUGCCCAAGCUAGUCUGCUGGGGCAUGCUGGCAUGGCCCCAAGAUCACUUUUGCAAGUUAAUGGUGCAGUAGUCAGUUGUUAAAAACACUAAUUGACGUUAAAUAGGUGAUGUUAUCUGACAAUACACAGACGGCUCCUGGUCUAUACACUCC